Molecule: non-coding RNA, 942 nt
Organism: Manis javanica (Malayan pangolin)
Lineage: Eukaryota; Metazoa; Chordata; Mammalia; Pholidota; Manidae
Source: RefSeq, a predicted model, not a curated record
GCCGCUGCCUCCGCCUCGGCCGCCUGAGGUGAAGGGCUCCGAGCGCGACAAUGGCGGAGGCCGAGAAAGCGGUUGUUCUUGAGAAUGAGGUUUUCCUUGGAACUCAGCUAUGAGCUUACAAAAAGAAGACUGAAGUUUUUUAAUUCUCUGGGCCGCAAUCAAUGAGAUUGGUUAAUAAUGGACAUUUUGGUGUUUGUGUUUAUUAUAUGCUGAUGGAAAUUAUAUUUGAAGCAGUUAUAGGCUCUUAAACAAGUUUGAUUACUGUAUGGAGUUUUAAAAUACAGAUUUUUCCCCUAAAUAUGGAAAAGAAACCCAUUAAACUAAAUCAACUCCUAACGUGUACUGUAAUAAUAUUUCACACUGAAAUAACCUUUUUAAGCUGAAAAGUUAAAGACCUUCCCAAAUGUUUCUUUUCAUAAAGAAGCAAACAUACGUGAUUUAUAUGCCUUGCAGAAUGUCACACACAUAUUACUGGUAAAGUUGUAGUUAGAAACUAAUACUCAAGUAAUACAUGAUUUUCUUAAUAUCCUCCUGUUCUUUGACAUUUCAGUAUGUAGUGAGACAGGGAAGUGACAGGGGACAGCCCCUUUCCAGUUAAGGUAGGAUACAGGCCCAUGGAAAAGGAUAAAACCUUGCUGAGGCUUCCGGAAUGUAAAGGAAAAUAGGAUGCUUGUGGUUGAAACAAUGCAUAGAGAAAUUCCACCCAAAACCCAGUGAUACGGAACAGUUUGCUGACCAUAGUCACGUAGACAUACGAGUUUAAAAUAAAAGUAACCUUUAAUGUGAUUAGUAAAAACAGAACUAGCUUUCUGGAGUAAACCUAUAGACAACAGAUAGCUGAUCUCCUUCGCUGAUGUAACAGGCACAAAACCCCUAAACCUUGCCCCUCCCAGCAUGCUCUGGGACUUCUGCACUUCCCUUUCUCUGAAUAAAAACCUUUUA